Molecule: non-coding RNA, 393 nt
Organism: Camellia sinensis
Lineage: Eukaryota; Viridiplantae; Streptophyta; Magnoliopsida; Ericales; Theaceae
Source: RefSeq, a predicted model, not a curated record
AGGAAUCAACAAAAAAUGGUUGAAGCAUCCCCAGUAAAUGGCAUGCGCAAGAUUCAUGAUGCAAGGUCACCAGUUUCGUCUAAUGCAUCCCCACUAACGGGCGUCGUUCAAACAUCAGACAGGAGAUCUUCUCUUGGAGGUACAAAUGAAACUAGAAAUUCGAAGACACCGCCUCCGGUCCACAAAUCGGCCAAGGCAACGAAUCAGUGGAUGUAGAUCAUUUAGCAAUAAGCAAAAGAGGAUAAUAGUGGUGUGGUGCUUCGGCUCCAUACUCAAUGCUGAGAUUUGAUUUAGGACACACUUUUUAAUUCAGAGUAGCCAUGACUUCUAUUUACAACAAACUAUUUGUUGACAUUUUGCCAGAUUAAUAAUUCAUUCAUAUGAUUUCAGCUU